GGUAAAACAGUUUUACAGCCCUUUAUAAAAUUGAACUAGUUGACAUUCAGGUAGUAAUUAAGCCCAAUUUGGCCGCUAAAUUUUGCUUCCACUGCAUCUGAUAUUCCCUUAUAAUUACCUGUAGAUCGAUAUUGGAGUACUCCUUGUCUCAAAUUUUAAUUAUGAUUAAGUUCAUUGGAAUCAUGAAGGUUGAAAUUUCUGUUUCUCAUCAUUUUCUUUCAGUA
RNAcentral lists this long non-coding RNA (224 nucleotides) under Citrus sinensis (sweet orange). Its description in RNAcentral is "long non-coding RNA (CSIN_LNC004099)". Lineage: Eukaryota; Viridiplantae; Streptophyta; Magnoliopsida; Sapindales; Rutaceae. The record is from RNAcentral.